This 1249-nucleotide ribosomal RNA is filed under the name Monolepta hieroglyphica. Its description in RNAcentral is "16S ribosomal RNA". The stretch from base 1013 to 1171 matches the Rfam family "Archaeal large subunit ribosomal RNA", at positions 2544 to 2703 of the family's 2987-position model. The record is from RNAcentral. Lineage: Eukaryota; Metazoa; Arthropoda; Insecta; Coleoptera; Chrysomelidae.
UAAAAAUUUAGUUGUUUAUUAAAUUAAGAAAAAUAUUAUUUUAUUAUUUUAUAGAAAAAAUUUAAUUUUAUUAUAGUUUAAAAGUAUUGAAAAAGAAAUUUUUAAUUUUUAAAAAGAAAAAUUUAAUUUUUGUACCUUGUGUAUCAGGGUUUAUUAAAUUAAUAAAAAUAUUUUUAUUUCUCGAAUUUAAAAGAUCUAAUAAAUUAUGAUUAUUAUUAUAAAAUAACUAAAAUUUAAUAUUUUAUUAGUAAUGAAAUGUUUUUCGUUUUUAAAUAUAUCUAGUUUUUUAAGAAAUUAAUUUAAUUAAUUUAUUAUAAAUAUAUUUUUGUUUAAAUAAUUUUAUAUUAAUAAUAAAAAAUAUUUUUAGGGAUUAGCUUAAAAUUUGAUUUUUAUUAAAAAUUUAAAAAAUUAUAAAAUUAGGAUUAAAAAUUUCCAAAUUUUAAAGUAUGUUAUUAUUUAUUAUGGUGUAAUAAUUUUUUUAUUUUUUAUAAAUAUUUUAUUAAAAUAUAAAUUUAAAUUUUAAUGAUUUAGAAAUUAUGAUAGAAUUAGUAAAUUAUGAUGUAAAAUUUUAAUAUUUAUUAGAUUUUAUAAAGGAAUUCGGCAAAUUAUUUUUUACCUGUUUAUUAAAAACAUGUCUUUUUGUAAAAAUAUAAAGUCUAACCUGCCCUAUGAAAAUUUAAAUGGCCGCGGUAUAUUAACCGUGCUAAGGUAGCAUAAUCAUUAGUUUUUUAAUUGAAAGCUGGAAUGAAGGGUUGGAUAAAAAAAUAACUGUCUCUAUAAAAAUGAUUGAAUUUUAUUUUUAAGUUAAAAAGCUUAAAUUUUUUUAAAAGACGAGAAGACCCUAUAGAGUUUAAUAUAAAAUAUAAUUAUUUUUUUUAGUAUUUAUUUAAAUAAUUAGAUUUUAUAUUUAGUUGGGGUGAUUGAAAAAUUAAAUAAACUUUUUUUGUAUAAAAAUAUAUUUUUAUAAAUUAUUGAUCCAAAAAUUUUGAUUAUAAGAUAAAAUUACCUUAGGGAUAACAGCGUAAUUUUAUUAGAGAGUUCUUAUUGAUAAUAAAGAUUGCGACCUCGAUGUUGGAUUAAAAUUUAUAAUUGGUGCAGAAGCUAUAUUAUUAAGUCUGUUCGACUUUUAAAAUUUUACAUGAUCUGAGUUUAAACCGGUGUAAGCCAGGUUGGUUUCUAUCUUUAAUAAAUUUAUAUAUUUUAGUACGAAAGGACCAAUUAUAUAAAUAAUAUUUUAAAAUUGAAUAAU